This 108-nucleotide non-coding RNA is filed under the name pig gut metagenome. Its description in RNAcentral is "FMN riboswitch (RFN element)". It matches the Rfam family "FMN riboswitch aptamer (RFN element)". Rfam says of the family: The RFN element is a highly conserved domain that is found frequently in the 5'-untranslated regions of prokaryotic mRNAs that encode for flavin mononucleotide (FMN) biosynthesis and transport proteins. This element is a metabolite-dependent riboswitch that directly binds FMN in the absence of proteins. The record is from RNAcentral.
GAUCUUCGGGGCAAGGUGUAAUUCCUGACCGGCAGUAAAGUCUGCGAGCCAAACGGCUGAAACGGUGUGAUUCCGUUACCGACAGUUAAAGUCUGGAUGGAAGAAGAU